This 490-nucleotide ribosomal RNA is filed under the name uncultured bacterium. RNAcentral's name for it is "partial 16S ribosomal RNA". It matches the Rfam family "Bacterial small subunit ribosomal RNA", at positions 29 to 507 of the family's 1533-position model. The record is from RNAcentral.
AGUGAACGCUGGCGGUAGGCCUAACACAUGCAAGUCGAACGGCAGCACAGUAAGAGCUUGCUCUUACGGGUGGCGAGUGGCGGACGGGUGAGGAAUACAUCGGAAUCUACUUUUUCGUGGGGGAUAACGUAGGGAAACUUACGCUAAUACCGCAUACGACCUACGGGUGAAAGCAGGGGAUCUUCGGACCUUGCGCGAUUGAAUGAGCCGAUGUCGGAUUAGCUAGUUGGCGGGGUAAAGGCCCCAAGGCGACGAUCCGUAGCUGGUCUGAGAGGAUGAUCAGCCACACUGGAACUGAGACACGGUCCAGACUCCUACGGGAGGCAGCAGUGGGGAAUAUUGGACAAUGGGCGCAAGCCUGAUCCAGCCAUACCGCGUGGGUGAAGAAGGCCUUCGGGUUGUAAAGCCCUUUUGUUGGGAAAGAAAAGCAGCAGGUUAAUACCCCGCUGUUCUGACGGUACCCAAAGAAUAAGCACCGGCUAACUUCGUG